UUUUCAGAUUUUAGAGCCAAAGAACAUUUUCCAGGGGAGACUGGCCACCUUGGCAACCAAGAUCCUGACCCAUAACCACAGACUGGAGUACUGGUGGGCCACAGUCCUCAAAUACCUGCUUAAGACAGGUUGUAAAAGUUAACAUGAACAAACUACGGCAGAGUUUCAGGAGAAAGAAAGAUGUUUACGUCCCAGAGGCCAGCCGUCCACAUCAGUGGCAGACAGAUGAAGAGGGAGUCCGCACUGGAAAGUGCAGCUUCCCAGUUAAGUACCUUGGCCACGUAGAGGUUGAUGAGUCAAGAGGAAUGCACAUCUGUGAAGAUGCCGUCAAAAGAUUGAAAGCUACGGGAAAGAAAGCAGUGAAGGCCGUUCUGUGGGUAUCAGCAGAU
Molecule: long non-coding RNA, 389 nt
Filed under: Rattus norvegicus (Norway rat)
Lineage: Eukaryota; Metazoa; Chordata; Mammalia; Rodentia; Muridae
Description: long non-coding RNA NONRATT024507
Source: RNAcentral